RNAcentral lists this ribosomal RNA (254 nucleotides) under uncultured bacterium. RNAcentral describes it as "partial 16S ribosomal RNA". It matches the Rfam family "Bacterial small subunit ribosomal RNA", at positions 524 to 776 of the family's 1533-position model. The record is from RNAcentral.
UACGUAGGGGGCAAGCGUUGUCCGGAUUUACUGGGCGUAAAGGGCGCGUAGGCGGCCCGCACAAGUCUGCGGUGAAAACCCCCGGCUUAACCGGGGGCCGGCCGUGGAAACUGUCGGGCUGGAGGCUGGGAGAGGGCAGCGGAAUUCCCGGUGUAGCGGUGAAAUGCGUAGAGAUCGGGAGGAACACCGGCGGCGAAGGCGGCUGCCUGGACCAGUCCUGACGCUGAGGCGCGAAAGCUAGGGGAGCAAACAGG